This 723-nucleotide ribosomal RNA is filed under the name Priestia aryabhattai. RNAcentral describes it as "bacterial SSU rRNA". It matches the Rfam family "Bacterial small subunit ribosomal RNA", at positions 56 to 761 of the family's 1533-position model. Lineage: Bacteria; Bacillati; Bacillota; Bacilli; Caryophanales; Bacillaceae. The record is from RNAcentral.
UGCAGUCGAGCGAACUGAUUAGAAGCUUGCUUCUAUGACGUUAGCGGCGGACGGGUGAGUAACACGUGGGCAACCUGCCUGUAAGACUGGGAUAACUUCGGGAAACCGAAGCUAAUACCGGAUAGGAUCUUCUCCUUCAUGGGAGAUGAUUGAAAGAUGGUUUCGGCUAUCACUUACAGAUGGGCCCGCGGUGCAUUAGCUAGUUGGUGAGGUAACGGCUCACCAAGGCAACGAUGCAUAGCCGACCUGAGAGGGUGAUCGGCCACACUGGGACUGAGACACGGCCCAGACUCCUACGGGAGGCAGCAGUAGGGAAUCUUCCGCAAUGGACGAAAGUCUGACGGAGCAACGCCGCGUGAGUGAUGAAGGCUUUCGGGUCGUAAAACUCUGUUGUUAGGGAAGAACAAGUACGAGAGUAACUGCUCGUACCUUGACGGUACCUAACCAGAAAGCCACGGCUAACUACGUGCCAGCAGCCGCGGUAAUACGUAGGUGGCAAGCGUUAUCCGGAAUUAUUGGGCGUAAAGCGCGCGCAGGCGGUUUCUUAAGUCUGAUGUGAAAGCCCACGGCUCAACCGUGGAGGGUCAUUGGAAACUGGGGAACUUGAGUGCAGAAGAGAAAAGCGGAAUUCCACGUGUAGCGGUGAAAUGCGUAGAGAUGUGGAGGAACACCAGUGGCGAAGGCGGCUUUUUGGUCUGUAACUGACGCUGAGGCGCGAAAGCG